Molecule: transfer RNA, 89 nt
Filed under: Thermoflexales bacterium
Lineage: Bacteria; Bacillati; Chloroflexota; Thermoflexia; Thermoflexales
Description: tRNA-OTHER
Source: RNAcentral
GCGCCGGUGAGUGGGUAAGGCAAUUCGGCCACAAAGCGCUCGACGGCGGCCGGUUCAAAUUCGAGCGCACGGCCCGGCUCGGCGCGCCA